CACAGAGCCUAUAUAAAAAUAUGCAGUAUUAUAGAUGACCAAGGAACAGGGGCUGGAAGAACAUAAAACUAUUCUGCCACAGUGAUGGACCUGCAAUUGGCAAGUUACUCAUGGGGUCGUGCUCCAGAGAGGAGGCUCUGCAGCAAGGGGCAGAGGUUGGCUGUCAGCUUGUCUCCAGUGGCAAGUCUGGAUCUGCCUGCUUGAGAGAAGACAAGCCCUUCUGCCGGAACGGGGAUGGCAUCCACAUACCCAUCUCACAGAAGGUUGGUUCCCUGGAUCUAACCUGGUGCUUACGGACUGUGUGCUGCUUCCACAAGGACCCACUCCUAGUCAGGGAAAUGUAUAAGGAAAUAGGGAGCUGGAUUCCCAGGGGAACAACAGCAGGAGCUUACAGUACUCAGUGCCCUGACUCAGAGUUUUAGAUAGUUCUGACAACUUUACAGCAAGAUUAUAUCACUCGUUUGUUCAUGACAUCAGACUCUAAUGACAAUGGGUGUGCCUAGCCAAUCAACUUUGUGUGUGUGUCCAUGUUCAUGUGUGUCUAUAUGGGCAUGGGUACACAUGGGUACAUAUGCAUGAGAAGUCAGAGGUCAAUAUUGGGUGUCUUUGUCUGACAUUUCUCCAGCUUAUGAUUUGAGACAGGGUCUGUCAUUGAACCUGGAGCUCACCAGUUUGGCUAGCAUGGCUGGCUAGGAAGCCCAGAGUGUCCUCCUACUUCUGUUUCCACUGCACUGAGUCUACAGUACUCACUACAUGCUCACCUUGUAGUGUGGGUCCUGAGUAUCUGAACUCAGUUCCUAAAGCUGAGCAAGCAUUUUGCUGACCGAGUCAUUUCCCCAGGCAUCUACUCAGUCAACCUUAAAAGGGGUACCUGAAUGCAGAAGCAUCUGAUUU
This is a long non-coding RNA of Alexandromys fortis (reed vole), 894 nucleotides long. RefSeq lists it as uncharacterized. NCBI's taxonomy places the organism in Eukaryota, Metazoa, Chordata, Mammalia, Rodentia, Cricetidae. The transcript has 3 exons. The record is from RefSeq and is a predicted model, not a curated record.